Molecule: long non-coding RNA, 226 nt
Filed under: Hordeum vulgare
Lineage: Eukaryota; Viridiplantae; Streptophyta; Magnoliopsida; Poales; Poaceae
Description: long non-coding RNA (HVUL_LNC010976)
Source: RNAcentral
UUCUACUUCAAUAGUAUCAGCAGUUUCAGAAGUAUCAUCACAUCUAGCAGCAACCCUAGCAAUUUGUGCAUCAAGGAAUGCACCUAGUGGCAAAGCAGUAUCAAGCAUAUAGCAUCAUCAGACAUAGUAUCAAGCAUAGCAUCAUCAUAAGAAUCAUGGGCAGCAGAAGUAGCAUCAUCAAGCACAGGUGACAUAUCAAGAUUUCUAGCAGUAGGUGAUGUCGCAA